Molecule: ribosomal RNA, 468 nt
Filed under: uncultured bacterium
Lineage: Bacteria
Description: partial 16S ribosomal RNA
Rfam family: Bacterial small subunit ribosomal RNA
Source: RNAcentral
GACGAACGCUGGCGGCGUGCUUAACACAUGCAAGUCGAACGGAAAGGCCCUGCUCUUGUGGGGUGCUCGAGUGGCGAACGGGUGAGUAACACGUGAGUAACCUGCCCUUCACUUUGGGAUAACCUCAGGAAACUGGGGCUAAUACCGGAUAGGAGCUCCUGCUGCAUGGUGGGGGUUGGAAAGUCUGGGCGGUUGGGGAUGGACUCGCGGCUUAUCAGCUUGUUGGUGGGGUUGUGGCUUACCAAGGUUUUGACGGGUCGCCGGCCUGAGAGGGUGACCGGCCAAAGUGGGACUGAGAUACGGCCCAGACUCCUACGGGAGGCAGCAGUGGGGAAUAUUGCACAAUGGGCGGAAGCCUAAGGCAGCAACGCCGCGUGGGGGUGAACGGCCUGGGGGUUGUAAACGGCUUUCGCCUGUGACGAAGCGUGAGUGACGGUAAUGGGUAAAGAAGCACCGGCUAACUACGUG